This is a long non-coding RNA of Cottoperca gobio, 510 nucleotides long. RefSeq lists it as uncharacterized. The record is from RefSeq and is a predicted model, not a curated record. Lineage: Eukaryota; Metazoa; Chordata; Actinopteri; Perciformes; Bovichtidae. The transcript is spliced from 3 exons.
GUGGACACGGAGUGUAGAGUUUUCCAAGAAAAAUGGUCCGUUUCCUAUUUAUUCACAGAGUGUGAUUCAAAUUUGAAGGACACAUUUGCCUCGGUGGGCUUGGACUCCUGCUACUCAAGAUUUGACGCCUGAUAUUGAUGCACUUGACGCUAAAAGAUGCCAAGUUUCAGGAGCAAACUGAACUUUGCUUCACGAUCCUCCUCUCUUCUCCUCCUGUGUUUGGCUGAGCUAAACGGGGCUCUCAGUGUUUCCAGCGCUGGGCUGUCUAAUCCCCAUGCAGAGCCCGCACCUGUGGCUGAUAGGAUCCUUCUGGAGUACAAAGGCUCUGAUUUACAGCCCCGAGGAGCUGCAGAACGGCAGGAAAGGGAAGUUGUUCAUCACGCUGUGUGCACUUCACCAGCAAUAGUUGCUGUGCUGCUAGUGAGGGCCAGACCCUUGAACUGCACCUAAAUGACAGGUGGCAAAAUAAUGCCUUUUUGUUACAAAUUACAUUUUAUAAACAAUGCCUGU